GAUGAAGAACGUAGCGAAAUGCGAUAAGUAGUGUGAAUUGCAGAAUUCAGUGAAUCAUCGAAUCUUUGAACGCACAUUGCGCCCCUUGGUAUCCCGAGGGGCAUGCCUGUUCGAGCGUCAUUUCACCACUCAAGCCUGGCUUGGUGUUGGGCGACGUCCUCUUUGGGGACGCGCCUCGAAACGCUCGGCGGCGUGGCACCGGCUUUAAGCGUAGCAGAAUCUUUCGCUUUGGAAGUCGGGGCCCCGUCUGCCGGAAGACCUGCUCGCAAGGUUGACCUCGGAUCAGGCAGGGAUACCCGCUGAACUUAAGCAUAUCAAUAAGCGGAAGGA
This 330-nucleotide unclassified non-coding RNA is filed under the name soil metagenome. Its description in RNAcentral is "partial contains 5.8S ribosomal RNA, internal transcribed spacer 2, and large subunit ribosomal RNA". The stretch from base 1 to 120 matches the Rfam family "5.8S ribosomal RNA", at positions 35 to 154 of the family's 154-position model. The record is from RNAcentral.